This 340-nucleotide unclassified non-coding RNA is filed under the name soil metagenome. RNAcentral describes it as "partial contains 5.8S ribosomal RNA, internal transcribed spacer 2, and large subunit ribosomal RNA". The stretch from base 3 to 119 matches the Rfam family "5.8S ribosomal RNA", at positions 38 to 154 of the family's 154-position model. The record is from RNAcentral.
GAGAAGAACGUAGCGAAAUGCGAUAAGUAGUGUGAAUUGCAGAAUUCAGUGAAUCAUCGAAUCUUUGAACGCACAUUGCGCCCUUUGGUAUUCCAAAGGGCAUGCCUGUUCGAGCGUCAUUUGUACCCUCAAGCUUUGCUUGGUGUUGGGCGUCUUGUCUCUAGCUUUGCUGGAGACUCGCCUUAAAGUAAUUGGCAGCCGGCCUACUGGUUUCGGAGCGCAGCACAAGUCGCACUCUCUAUCAGCAAAGGUCUAGCAUCCAUUAAGCCUUUUUUUCAACUUUUGACCUCGGAUCAGGUAGGGAUACCCGCUGAACUUAAGCAUAUCAAUAAGCGGAGGA